CAGCACACAUGAUAAUUCAAAAGACACAUAGCCCCUCACUGCAGCACACAGCCCUCAUUGUCCACCCACACCCACACCCACACAACACAGCCCACCCACACUCAUGCUAACCCCAAAUAUCACUCUGGAGCCUACUCCAUCUGUUGGGUCAGUGUGAAGCAAUAGAAGCAGCUACACACAUGGUUGAGCUCUUUAUUUAGAAUCUCUCCAUGUUCAAUCAUCACUGGUAUUCACAAUUUAUUACCAUUCAGCUGUUAAUUUCUCAGCCAAGUUACACCUGUGUGACAGCACAAGAGUUAAGUCAUAGGUGACUUCAGUACUUCUGAGACAUGCCCCACUGACAGCAAAGGAGAAAAGAGCUGCCUCCCACAGAAUAGGCACAGCAGGAGCAGCAGUACUGAUUGGAGCCGAAUUUCUUUCAGCUCUAGUCAUCUCAAAGGUUACUUGUAACUAUAGCAGGUUCUAAUAACCAUGGCUGCAUAGAAUUAUUUCUGAAAACUACAGUCACCAGUUCUAGUGCCCAAAUGAUUAUUAUGAAAUACUUCGU
Mauremys reevesii (Reeves's turtle) is the source of this 547-nucleotide long non-coding RNA. RefSeq lists it as uncharacterized. The record is from RefSeq and is a predicted model, not a curated record. Lineage: Eukaryota; Metazoa; Chordata; Testudines; Geoemydidae. The transcript has 3 exons.